UACGUAGGUGGCGAGCGUUGUUCGGAUUUACUGGGCGUAAAGGGAGCGUAGGCGGACUUUUAAGUGAGAUGUGAAAUACCCGGGCUCAACUUGGGUGCUGCAUUUCAAACUGGAAGUCUAGAGUGCAGGAGAGGAGAAUGGAAUUCCUAGUGUAGCGGUGAAAUGCGUAGAGAUUAGGAAGAACACCAGUGGCGAAGGCGAUUCUCUGGACUGUAACUGACGCUGAGGCUCGAAAGCGUGGGGAGCAAACAGGAUUAGAUACCCGGGUA
RNAcentral lists this ribosomal RNA (269 nucleotides) under uncultured prokaryote. RNAcentral describes it as "partial 16S ribosomal RNA". It matches the Rfam family "Bacterial small subunit ribosomal RNA", at positions 524 to 792 of the family's 1533-position model. The record is from RNAcentral.